UACGGAAGGCAGCAGUGGGGAAUAUUGCACAAUGGGCGAAAGCCUGAUGCAGCUAUGCCGCGUGUAUGAAGAAGGCCUUAGGGUUGUAAAGCUCUUUUAGUGAGAAAGAUAAUGACGGUACUCACAGAAGAAGUCCUGGCUAACUCCGUGCCAGCAGCCGCGGUAAUACGGAGAGGGCUAGCGUUAUUCGGAAUUAUUGGGCGUAAAGAGCGCGUAGGCUGAUUAGUAAGUUAAAAGUGAAAUCCCAAAGCUUAACUUUGGAAUUGCUUUUUAAAACUGCUAGUCUAGAGAUUUGAAAGAGGAUAGAGGAAUUCCUAGUGUAGAGGUGAAAUUCGUAAAUAUUAGGAGGAACACCAGUGGCGAAGGCGUCUAUCUGGUUCAAAUCUGACGCUGAGGGCGCGAAGGCGUGGGGAGCAAACAGGGAUUAGAUACC
RNAcentral lists this ribosomal RNA (433 nucleotides) under uncultured bacterium. RNAcentral describes it as "bacterial SSU rRNA". It matches the Rfam family "Bacterial small subunit ribosomal RNA", at positions 340 to 786 of the family's 1533-position model. The record is from RNAcentral.